GAUGAACGCUGGCGGCGUGCUUAACACAUGCAAGUCGAACGGAAAGGCCCAAGCUUGCUUGGGUACUCGAGUGGCGAACGGGUGAGUAACACGUGGGUGAUCUGCCCUGCACUUCGGGAUAAGCCUGGGAAACUGGGUCUAAUACCGGAUAGGACCACUUCUUGGAUGUUGUGGUGGAAAGUUUUUUCGGUGUGGGAUGAGCUCGCGGCCUAUCAGCUUGUUGGUGGGGUAAUGGCCUACCAAGGCGUCGACGGGUAGCCGGCCUGAGAGGGUGUACGGCCACAUUGGGACUGAGAUACGGCCCAGACUCCUACGGGAGGCAGCAGUGGGGAGUAUUGCACAAUGGGCGCAAGCCUGAUGCAGCGACGCCGCGUGGGGGAUGACGGCCUUCGGGUUGUAAACUCCUUUCGCUAGGGACGAAGCGUUUUGUGACGGUACCUGGAGAAGAAGCACCGGCUAACUACGUG
Molecule: ribosomal RNA, 467 nt
Filed under: uncultured bacterium
Lineage: Bacteria
Description: partial 16S ribosomal RNA
Rfam family: Bacterial small subunit ribosomal RNA
Source: RNAcentral